This is a long non-coding RNA of Ctenopharyngodon idella (grass carp), 1818 nucleotides long. RefSeq lists it as uncharacterized. The record is from RefSeq and is a predicted model, not a curated record. The transcript is spliced from 2 exons. NCBI's taxonomy places the organism in Eukaryota, Metazoa, Chordata, Actinopteri, Cypriniformes, Xenocyprididae.
UUCCUGUUUAACGCGAAUUAAAAACGACGUAUCUAUUUACUUUUCCUCUCAUUUGUAUGCCCUUUAUAUAGACGCUUCACGUAAAGCAAAAAGAUCCAGGUCGGCGGUCAUCCAGGGAUAUCACGUCCUUUAAAAGCAAAUCCUAGAUGAGAGGAAUGCAGGCACAGGACUGCAACUCAGGAUACAGUUCACAUACUCCCCCUUCCCCGAUCACGUGAUCAGCGCGGACUUGAUACAUAAAACUGGGAGGGGUUAAUAUGCGGAGGCGGGGCUUGAUUUAAAGGGGCACACCUCUAGUUUUUUGUGAUCUGUCCAACAUUGAAAUUCUGAUUCUCUCCAGUAAAUUGUUAUUGUAGACCCCCUGUGGUAAAAAUUAAGUUUUUAUGUGUCUUUGUGGUGGUUUUAAUAUGCUUUAAGACAAACCAUGUGCAAAUUCAUAAGUCAACACCAUUGCUGAGUAUUUUCUCCUUAAAACUGUAGUGAUCUAAAGACUCUGGUGUCUGUGACGUCACAAACUACCUUGUAACCAAUCACGUUAACGUGCUGGCUGGUUUUAGCAUAUCAUUAACAGCGAACUAGCAGGGGGGUUCCGAGAAAAGCCAGGUUAUCCCGGUAUAUUUUUCUGUUGAUAUGAAAAAUCGUGUAGAUUUAGCAAUAUGGCAGGUGUAUGAUGUAUAUUACGAUGUUAUGAUGACUGUAUGCCUUUCUCCACUGACGUUCUUUAGUUGUUCAAAGCAUUUGUAAGGAAACUAAAGCAGUUGGCUCUGACAUGGUGAACGGGAACAUGGUUUGUGUAACAUUAGCAACACAUUAUUAGCUGUUUGAUAACGUAGUCAAGCAAAAUGCUAAUCAUAUUAAUUACCCUUAUGUGUCUGAAUCUGAUGUUGUAAAGAGCGAUACCAUUGUGCAGCGUUUACCUCAGUAAGUUGACCGAGUGGAUCUCUGAGCUCCGUGAGUGGGUGGAGGCGGGGCAAAUUUGCAUAUUCAUCGAUUUGCGUAUACUAAAUGAGGCAAGGGUGUGGAGUUACAUUCAAGCUAUUUUAAGGCAUGAAGAUUUUUUUCAGAGGAAAAAAUGUUUAAAUAUGUCAUUUUGGUGAUCAAAGAUGAGUUUUAAGGAAUAAAAUGAUUGACUACAGGGGGACUUUAAGCAGCAAUAAACCACACGAGACAGGAGUAAUGAACUUCAUCCAUCUUGUUUACUAUUUCACUUCCAUACUCGCACACAUUACAGCACACUCCAAAAUAGUAGUCACUAAUUCUAUUAUUUACUAAAAUUAUUUUACUGGGUUUUAAUCUACCAUCCAGCAUCUCAUCCAGUUAGGUCUCAUCAUCCAUCCAGAGAUUGCUGUAUAUCCCUAAGUCAAAGCUGAAAUGUAGGGAUGACCGGACCUUUUCAGUAGUUGCCCCCAGACUCUGGAAUGCCCUACCCAUUUCUAUUAGAUUUGCUCCAUCUUUGUCUGUUUUUAAAUCGAAGCAAAGAUUUAUGUCUUUGAUAUGGUAUGUAAUCAGUGAUGAAGUUUUAUUGCAUUGUAUUUUAGUGAUGACAUUGUUCUGUUAAGUCUGUUAUGCAAUGUGUUUUUCUUUUUCUUGUUGUUAUGCAGCACAUUGGUCAACUUUAGUUGGUGCUAUACAAAUUAAAUUGACUAUCUCAACAGCCCACCAGAGUGCUGUUAAUCAUUUAACAUGCAAAGAGGGCAUUUACACACACGUCUUGAAGGGACAGCAUCAAAAUACAGGGCAUACAAUUCUAAAGGUCAGAGACAGACUUGGUUCUCAAUGAGGAAUUUUGGUGCCUUGGUCACAAAAAAACAAACAAAA